GUGAGAGGGAAGGGUAGCUCUGGCCUUGCUCAAGGAGGUAGAAGGUGAGGGGAACGGCCAGGCCCUGGAGCUCCCGUGGAGGCAUGAUGUGGCAUUGCCAUCUGACCAGAGAGCAGGGGCGCCGCCAUGGUUCCCUCCCACCUCUCAUUGCCUUCCUCUAUUGUUGCCUCUUUCUCUUCUCUCUAAAGCCCUUCCUGUAUUUUCCAUGCAGGGGAAUACAGGUGUGAUGCAGGGGGUCAGACACAGGACUGCACCCUGGGCCGCCUCUGAUGGAAACUCCAAGAUUCUAUGACUUCCCUGAGAGCUCCUCUGCCAGGAAAUGCCAGCUUCAGCUUAGCGCAAGGAGGAGCCUGACCCUGCAGGUGAGUCUGUCACGUGCAUGGACGUUGCAGGGGGUGCUCCUGAGGCCAGGGCUGUGCACUUCCCAGGCGGGUGCGUGAUUUGACUUUCUCUGCUCAUUGAGCCAGGCCUGGCUCUGGUGGAAACUGCUGGCGUCAUGAAGGGCCUACUCACUUCAUCACAGGCCGGGCCAGGCCAACUCUGGCAUUGUAGCUGCCUGCUGGAGCGAUCCUUCAAUCCGCAUGGAAGCCUGAAAGCCUCUCCUUAGAGACAUUAAUUAGCCCCCAAUUAAUGCUGGGCAGAAGCUCACCCGGAUAGAGAGCAGGAUUUGCUCCAGCUCUGGAGGCUGCCACCCAUUUAUCUGCAAAUUGCCCAGCAAACCAGGAAGAGGCAGUAAAACAGCUCAAUGUGGAAAUUACAGGGCCUUGGGAGGUUUGCUGAUUUCUUUGGCCUGUAUUAAGGACUGUCCCAAAUCCCGGAGUCCCCAGCUGUGUCUCUGGCUCUCUCCCACUCCCCACCGUGGCCUAAUUGCAGUGCCCAGAGAACUCUGUCAAGAGCAUGUUGGCUGUGAUCUACAGCUCUGGAAAGCUCAGGAGGGUGCCUCAUCAACGGAGAUGCCAAGGUUCCCUACGACGUCUCCUCAGUGGGCUGUGCAGGGGUUUCUGAGAUAACUCACUUUGUGGAAGGCAUUCUGGAGGAGGCGAUGACCAGCAAACUACACUCCCGUGUUUCCAGAGCUGUUAAAUCAGCCAGUGAGGAGACGGCCAUGAAUACAAAUUGCUCUAUUGCACGAAAGCAUGUGGUUAAAUGGUACCAAAGAAAGAAAAAUCAGAAUCAGGAGGAGGAAUUUAGGAGAGCUUGAUGAGAUCCAAACGAAGACGAAAAUCAAGGCAGAAUCUGUGAGUGGCUGAAGACAGAAAAGGAAGGCCAUGUAGCCCACACGCAGUCCCACUGAACGUUGGAAAAGGGAAGUGGGAGGGGGGAAGCCACUGCAUCCAGGCACCUAGAGACCGGUUGGUCCAGGAUGGGCCAAGAGUGGCUGUGGGGAGAGGAGGCUGCGGGCAACCACGGUCGUUCAACCAUGUGGUUGUGGUGAAUGCCUGCAAGGCUGCGCUUCGGAACUGGGAGGAGCUGGCUAUCAGCUAGGAAGUGGCAAAACCAGAAUUUGGGCUCCAGAAGUGUAAAGUGUAACUCUGGUGCUUGGCCUCAACCACAAUGUCACAUUGCCUGUCUUACUGAAAGGAAACUGAGGCUCAGAUGGGCUGAGUGAGCUGCCCAAGGUCACAGAGCUGGAAGUAGCAGGGCUGAGAUUUCAAUACAGGUCUCCUGGUGCCAAAGCUGAAGCAGAUCCCACCCGUCUUGCCUCUCACAGCUAAGGCGGACACAAGGACACAGCUGGUCCUGCUUUCAUCCUUCCAGGACUCUGCCUGCCUGGGGAGGGGUCGAGGUAGAGAGGGAGGGCUGGGCUGAGGCUAUUCUUUCAGCUGCAGUCAUGUGGUUGGGGAGAGGUUGGGAGUCGUGCUGAGUCCUUCUCAACAUGUCUGUCUAAAAAGAGACUUGGAGCUCACCUAAGUUCUCCUUUUGGGGUGCUUGUCAUUUGUCCUGGCAGGAAAUGGCUUGACUAGACACCUCCUCAGCAUCUAAAAAGGCUACCAGCUGUGUACAAGGAGAGAGCACUAGGCUAUGUUCGCCCAAGGAGAGGAGGGGAAGGGCAAAGCCUUUCAACUCACCCCCUUUGCAUGUGCCUUUCUGCCUCACGAUUUGCUUUAAGAGCGCUCAUUAUUUUACUUGAGGCAGUAACACAGCCUGAAUCCUUACUGGAACCAGCAUUCAAUCAUGGCUCAAAGUCCAAAUUUAUCUCUGAGCUGGCGAGACUCCU
Molecule: long non-coding RNA, 2218 nt
Filed under: Callithrix jacchus (white-tufted-ear marmoset)
Lineage: Eukaryota; Metazoa; Chordata; Mammalia; Primates; Cebidae
Description: lncRNA (ENSCJAG00000076356.1)
Source: RNAcentral